GGCGGACGGGUGAGUAAUGUCUGGGAAACUGCCUGAUGGAGGGGGAUAACUACUGGAAACGGUAGCUAAUACCGCAUAACGUCUUCGGACCAAAGAGGGGGACCUUCGGGCCUCUUGCCAUCAGAUGUGCCCAGAUGGGAUUAGCUAGUAGGUGAGGUAAUGGCUCACCUAGGCGACGAUCCCUAGCUGGUCUGAGAGGAUGACCAGCCACACUGGAACUGAGACACGGUCCAGACUCCUACGGGAGGCAGCAGUGGGGAAUAUUGCACAAUGGGCGCAAGCCUGAUGCAGCCAUGCCGCGUGUAUGAAGAAGGCCUUCGGGUUGUAAAGUACUUUCAGCGAGGAGGAAGGCAUUGUGGUUAAUAACCGCAGUGAUUGACGUUACUCGCAGAAGAAGCACCGGCUAACUCCGUGCCAGCAGCCGCGGUAAUACGGAGGGUGCAAGCGUUAAUCGGAAUUACUGGGCGUAAAGCGCACGCAGGCGGUCUGUCAAGUCGGAUGUG
This 503-nucleotide ribosomal RNA is filed under the name Buttiauxella sp. RNAcentral describes it as "bacterial SSU rRNA". It matches the Rfam family "Bacterial small subunit ribosomal RNA", at positions 97 to 596 of the family's 1533-position model. Lineage: Bacteria; Pseudomonadati; Pseudomonadota; Gammaproteobacteria; Enterobacterales; Enterobacteriaceae. The record is from RNAcentral.